UGGGGAAUAUUGCGCAAUGGGCGAAAGCCUGACGCAGCAACGCCGCGUGGAGGAUGAAGGCUUUCGGGUUGUAAACUCCUUUCAGCAGGGACGAAAAUGACGGUACCUGCAGAAGAAGCCCCGGCUAACUACGUGCCAGCAGCCGCGGUGAGACGUAGGGGGCAAGCGUUGUCCGGAUUUAUUGGGCGUAAAGAGCUCGUAGGCGGCUUGGCAAGUCAGAUGUGAAAUCUCCAGGCUUAACCUGGAGUCGCCAUCUGAUACUGCUAUGGCUAGAGUCCGGUAGAGGAUCGUGGAAUUCCUGGUGUAGCGGUGAAAUGCGCAGAUAUCAGGAGGAACACCAACGGCGAAGGCAGCGAUCUGGGCCGGUACUGACGCUGAGGAGCGAAAGCGUGGGGAGCGAACAGG
This 405-nucleotide ribosomal RNA is filed under the name uncultured Ferrimicrobium sp. RNAcentral's name for it is "bacterial SSU rRNA". It matches the Rfam family "Bacterial small subunit ribosomal RNA", at positions 355 to 776 of the family's 1533-position model. Lineage: Bacteria; Bacillati; Actinomycetota; Acidimicrobiia; Acidimicrobiales; Acidimicrobiaceae. The record is from RNAcentral.